This is a non-coding RNA of Microcebus murinus (gray mouse lemur), 526 nucleotides long. Lineage: Eukaryota; Metazoa; Chordata; Mammalia; Primates; Cheirogaleidae. The record is from RefSeq and is a predicted model, not a curated record.
AUAUGAAAACUAAAGCUUAAAACAAUUCAGUGGCUUGCCCAAGAUAAUCCAACAGGCAGAGAAGACACAACACGCAAAGCAAUGAGACAUUAAAUGGCAUGGCAUAUCUGAGAAACUACAGAAAGAGAAAAGUGAAAGAGCUGGAGAACUUGUCCAGUUAAUCUUGGAAAACAGACCAUUUCCAUCUUCUGGAACCUGUCCUCUUCUUAUACCCAUGCUUGGAAAGAGAAGAAAUAGAAUGAACACACUCAUUCCAAUAAGUCAAAGAAAGAACCACCACAUAUUUAGCUAAAUGCAGUAUUUGAAUAGCUGCUUCAGAGUGAAUCCUGGAAGAUGGAAUAGUAAUCAAAAUGUUAUGCCAUAUUCCAACUGUCAAACUAACAUUGAUGACACGAUGCCUACACACAUAGUGGUUCCAGUGAUCAAAUUACAACAACACAGCAAGUUUCUCAUUCAUUAGCAUCCAGAUGACAAGUCCUACACUAAAUGUGAUGAAAAAAUACAAAUGCCACACAAGAUAUGAGUA